Molecule: long non-coding RNA, 343 nt
Organism: Etheostoma cragini (Arkansas darter)
Lineage: Eukaryota; Metazoa; Chordata; Actinopteri; Perciformes; Percidae
Exons: 3
Source: RefSeq, a predicted model, not a curated record
GCAAAGACGGACAUGCCAUGAAUAAGUACAACACGGCCACGACUCAAAUGAUGUACCACUUAAACAAAGUGCAUCCGACCCUGGUUAAUACCGGUGGCUGUACAUCCUGCUCUCAGUCUCAACCUAGCAUCAAGGCUGCGUUAGCACGGAUGAGCUGCGAUGCCCAGCGAACAGAAAAAAUUACCCAACGGAUCUGCAAGUUCAUUGAGAUAGAUAUGCUGCCCUUAAGUAUUGUUGAGGGCGAAGGUUUUCGAGAACUGAUACAUUUAUUGUAACCAGCAUAUAUCAUUCAUCAUGACGUACAGUACCAUCACUUGACUGGUAGAAACUCACUAUGAAGAAC